UUAUACUUGCACCUCAAGCUG
Molecule: non-coding RNA, 21 nt
Filed under: Mus musculus (house mouse)
Lineage: Eukaryota; Metazoa; Chordata; Mammalia; Rodentia; Muridae
Source: RNAcentral